This 301-nucleotide ribosomal RNA is filed under the name uncultured bacterium. RNAcentral describes it as "partial 16S ribosomal RNA". It matches the Rfam family "Bacterial small subunit ribosomal RNA", at positions 509 to 807 of the family's 1533-position model. The record is from RNAcentral.
CAGUCGCCGCGGUAAUACAGAGGGUGCAAGCGUUAAUCGGAAUUACUGGGCGUAAAGCGUGCGCAGGCGGUUCGUUAAGACAGAUGUGAAAUCCCCGGGCUUAACCUGGGAACUGCAUUUGUGACUGACGGGCUAGAGUAUGGCAGAGGGGGGUAGAAUUCCACGUGUAGCAGUGAAAUGCGUAGAGAUGUGGAGGAAUACCGAUGGCGAAGGCAGCCCCCUGGGCCAAUACUGACGCUCAUGCACGAAAGCGUGGGGAGCAAACAGGAUUAGAUACCCGGGUAGUCCCUGUCUCUUAUAC